Molecule: long non-coding RNA, 604 nt
Filed under: Equus asinus (donkey)
Lineage: Eukaryota; Metazoa; Chordata; Mammalia; Perissodactyla; Equidae
Description: lncRNA (ENSEASG00005036406.1)
Source: RNAcentral
CGCCGUGCCGUCCGUGGGCAGGAGGCGCAGGAGUCGGCGGACCGCGCAGCGCGCAGACACGGGCCCGUCAGAGGGGUGUCAGCCCAAGCUUGUCAGAACAGACUCCCGGACGAGGGGGAGACCUGGGGGCCAGCAGGGCCUGGCAAAACCUGUUUAAACAUCAGUGGGUCCUGACUGCAGCCGGCACAGAGCGCUCUGCUGUUCAGGACGCAGGUGCCCUGGGAGGGAGCGAAGAGCAGCUUCCGAGAGCCGCGCCCAGGCGCCCACUCCUUCACUCCUGGGGCGGACGUGCGGAAGGUGAUGAGGCCGUAGAAGCAGGCGGGCUGCCCCGUCUGCCCGCCCCGUUACAGCGGCAGCUUUCAGAGGCAGGGGGGCUGUGGCAGCAGCAGGCAGAAGGAGGCAGGCCCGGGCUCUGCCUUAUUACCAACAGAUGCUUGUGACAGAUCUAUGUGUAGCCUCUCCACGCGCUGUCCUGCAUUUCCAAGAGAUGGUGUCCAGGAGGAGGUAUCUGUCAAGUAGAAGACAAAAGGGCUAUUGGCCAGGGGGCUGGACACUGAGGAGAAGAGCCCACGUCUGGGGUCUGGACGCCGCAGGGGCAGCACCA